RNAcentral lists this transfer RNA (72 nucleotides) under Neelus murinus. Its description in RNAcentral is "tRNA-Ser". It matches the Rfam family "tRNA". From Rfam's summary of the family: Transfer RNA (tRNA) molecules are approximately 80 nucleotides in length. Their secondary structure includes four short double-helical elements and three loops (D, anti-codon, and T loops). The record is from RNAcentral. Lineage: Eukaryota; Metazoa; Arthropoda; Collembola; Neelipleona; Neelidae.
AAUUACUUGUCUGAAUGAAUUAAGUGAGUAUCUUGAAAAUACUUAACAGGAGUUAAAUUCUCCUAGUAAUUU